GACGAACGCUGGCGGCGUGCCUAAUACAUGCAAGUUGAGCGAUGAAGAUUGGUGCUUGCACCAAUUUGAAGAGCAGCGGACGGGUGAGUAACGCGUGGGGAAUCUGCCUUUGAGCGGGGGACAACAUUUGGAAACGAAUGCUAAUACCGCCUAAUAACUUUAAACAUAAGUUUUAAGUUUGAAAGAUGCCAUUGCAUCACUCAAAGAUGAUCCCGCGUUGUAUUAGCUAGUUGGUGAGGUAAAGGCUCACCAAGGCGAUGAUACAUAGCCGACCUGAGAGGGUGAUCGGCCACAUUGGGACUGAGACACGGCCCAAACUCCUACGGGAGGCAGCAGUAGGGAAUCUUCGGCAAUGGACGAAAGUCUGACCGAGCAACGCCGCGUGAGUGAAGAAGGUUUUCGGAUCGUAAAACUCUGUUGGUAGAGAAGAACGUUGGUGAGAGUGGAAAGCUCAUCAAGUGACGGUAACUACCCAGAAAGGGACGGCUAACUACGUG
This 497-nucleotide ribosomal RNA is filed under the name uncultured bacterium. RNAcentral's name for it is "partial 16S ribosomal RNA". It matches the Rfam family "Bacterial small subunit ribosomal RNA", at positions 28 to 507 of the family's 1533-position model. The record is from RNAcentral.